Molecule: ribosomal RNA, 370 nt
Filed under: uncultured organism
Description: bacterial SSU rRNA
Rfam family: Bacterial small subunit ribosomal RNA
Source: RNAcentral
CGAAGGGGGCGAGCGUUGUUCGGAAUCACUGGGCGUAAAGAGUGCGUAGGCGGUUAUGAAAGUUAGAAGUGAAAGCCCAGGGCUCAACCUUGGAAUUGCUUUUAAAACUACAUAACUCGAAUUCGGGAGAGGAUAGCGGAAUUGUCAGUGUAGCAGUGAAAUGCGUAGAUAUUGACAGGAACACCAGUGGCGUAAGCGGCUAUCUGGACCGACAUUGACGCUGAGGCACGAAAGCGUGGGGAUCAAACAGGAUUAGAUACCCUGGUAGUCCACGCCGUAAACGAUGUGUGUUUGUCGCUGGGGAGUUUACUCUUCGGUGACGGAGCUAACGCAUUAAGCACACCGCCUGGGAAGUACGGUCGCAAGAUUA